Molecule: ribosomal RNA, 898 nt
Filed under: Arcopilus megasporus
Lineage: Eukaryota; Fungi; Ascomycota; Sordariomycetes; Sordariales; Chaetomiaceae
Description: LSU rRNA
Rfam family: Eukaryotic large subunit ribosomal RNA
Source: RNAcentral
CUUAGCAUAUCACUAAGCGGAGGAAAAGAAACCAACUGGGAUUGCCCCUAGUAACGGCGAGUGAAGCGGCAACAGCUCAAAUUUGAAACUGGCCUCGGCCCGAGUUGUAAUUUGCAGAGGAAGCUUUAGGCGCGGCACCUUCUGAGUCCCCUGGAACGGGGCGCCAUAGAGGGUGAGAGCCCCGUAUAGUUGGAUGCCUAGCCUGUGUAAAGCUCCUUCGACGAGUCGAGUAGUUUGGGAAUGCUGCUCAAAAUGGGAGGUAAAUUUCUUCUAAAGCUAAAUACCGGCCAGAGACCGAUAGCGCACAAGUAGAGUGAUCGAAAGAUGAAAAGCACUUUGAAAAGAGGGUUAAAUAGCACGUGAAAUUGUUGAAAGGGAAGCGCUUGUGACCAGACUUGCGCCGGGCUGAUCAUCCGGUGUUCUCACCGGUGCACUCUGCCCGGCUCAGGCCAGCAUCGGUUCUCGCGGGGGGAUAAAGGCCCUGGGAACGUAGCUCCUCCGGGAGUGUUAUAGCCCGGGGCGUAAUGCCCUCGCGGGGACCGAGGUUCGCGCAUCUGCAAGGAUGCUGGCGUAAUGGUCACCAGCGACCCGUCUUGAAACACGGACCAAGGAGUCAAGGUUUUGCGCGAGUGUUUGGGUGUAAAACCCGCACGCGUAAUGAAAGUGAACGUAGGUGAGAGCUUCGGCGCAUCAUCGACCGAUCCUGAUGUUUUCGGAUGGAUUUGAGUAGGAGCGUUAAGCCUUGGACCCGAAAGAUGGUGAACUAUGCUUGGAUAGGGUGAAGCCAGAGGAAACUCUGGUGGAGGCUCGCAGCGGUUCUGACGUGCAAAUCGAUCGUCAAAUCUGAGCAUGGGGGCGAAAGACUAAUCGAACCAUCUAGUAGCUGGUUACCGCCGAU